Molecule: ribosomal RNA, 460 nt
Filed under: uncultured bacterium
Lineage: Bacteria
Description: partial 16S ribosomal RNA
Rfam family: Bacterial small subunit ribosomal RNA
Source: RNAcentral
CCUACGGGCGGCAGCAGUGAGGAAUAUUGGUCAAUGGACGAGAGUCUGAACCAGCCAAGUAGCGUGAAGGAUGACUGCCCUAUGGGUUGUAAACUUCUUUUAUAUGGGAAUAAAACGUUCCACGUGUGGGAUUUUGUAUGUACCAUAUGAAUAAGGAUCGGCUAACUCCGUGCCAGCAGCCGCGGUAAUACGGAGGAUCCGAGCGUUAUCCGGAUUUAUUGGGUGUAAAGGGAGCGUAGGUGGAUUGUUAAGUCAGUUGUGAAAGUUUGCGGCUCAACCGUAAAAUUGCAGUUGAAACUGGCAGUCUUGAGUACAGUAGAGGUGGGCGGAAUUCGUGGUGUAGCGGUGAAAUGCUUAGAUAUCACGAAGAACUCCGAUUGCGAAGGCAGUUCACUGGACUGCAACUGACACUGAGGCUCGAAAGUGUGGGUAUCAAACAGGAUUAGAUACCCCAGUAGUC